Molecule: long non-coding RNA, 849 nt
Filed under: Vigna radiata
Lineage: Eukaryota; Viridiplantae; Streptophyta; Magnoliopsida; Fabales; Fabaceae
Description: long non-coding RNA (VRAD_LNC016425)
Source: RNAcentral
AAUAAACAAGAAUAAAUGUUUGAUAUUAAACACAUAAACAUUUCACAUGAAUGUAAAUAUGGACUCCGAAGAUGAACUUCUAAGAAUUUGGAUACUCCUCAUGAUUUUGUUCUAUCCUAUUUUAUCCUAUCUUUUGGUGUACUCCCCCUAAGUACAUGCUCCUAGAUGUUGACGUGUCUACUCUCUUUCUCUCCUUUAUUUGAUAAACAUCAAAAGGGAAGGAGAGAAAGGACAUCACAACCCGAUGGAGGUGAGGGAAGAUAAGGAGAGAAAGGGUCAUGAAGGGAUAGGACGACAUGAGGAUUAAUGGAAUUGAAUGAAAAGACAAAAGGAAGAAGAAGUUAAGGAAAAAGAGGGAAAGGUGAGAGGGGGGUAUUGGUAGUUGGGUAAGGUAGGGUUUAGUCGUGAAGAAGGUGGGUUAGAUUGAAGAACUACUUGCGUAAGGCAAGUAAGUUUUGAAUACAGGAAUAGGAAAGGGUGUUGGAUUAUCAUAUUCAUCUUGGUCCAAUGAUCGAAUGAGAUGAUGAUGACAGUUUGGAGGUUUGGAAGAAGGCUUAAUUGGUUUGGAAUGGUGAAAGUUUGAGAGAUAAAAAAUUUAGGAGACAUGAAGGCAAAAGAGAAGGAAAUUUAGGGUUUUCGAAAGACUGUGUUGAGAAUGUGAAGAGUAGAGUCGAGUUAAGUAGAGGGGAAAAGUUAGUCAUCUAAUGUUUAGUCAUCCUCCACCAAACAUCCCUCAAACUUUGGCUAGGGAUAUCACCAGUGUUGCAACUCAGUUUGAAAUCAACUCCUACGAAGAAAUUGUUUGCAAAUUGCAAUCCAAUCUUCUCAAAGCAUAGCAGGCCAUGAAAC